GAUGUGAGGCUAGUGGGAGGAGGCAGUCGCUGUGCUGGUAGAGUGGAGUGGGACAAACUGGGAGAGGGGAAUAUGUCGGCUGUGUAUUUCUGGAAAUUGAAGGGUGUCGCUGAUGUAGUUUGUAGACAGCUGGGCUGUCGUUCCACUGUUUCAACACUGCUUAGAUACCGCACUGGAGGGUUUGAAGUUUACUGUAAUGGACUUGAACAUGCACAUCGGGAGCAAAGCCUCAAGGCCAACCUUGGUGACUCCAUUAAAGGUGAUCUGCUCCGAGUUCCUGCUUAAGCCUAAUAUCUCCCUGACCAUCUCAAUGGGAGUGUUCUCCAGGGGCCACCAGGGGACUCUAGAGGUGUUCAGGUGCCACAGCUUCACUAUCACCUGCUCCAUUCAGCCACAGUACCCAGGAGGCUCCCUCAUCACAUACCCUGACUCCAACAUAACCCAGACUUAGCCAGCUGUCAAUCACUCUGCUGCCUUCCUCUUCCCUGCUGCAGAUGACUCCCACCAAGGGAACUACAGCUGUGUUUAUGAGAUUUAUGUUUUUUCUCAUAACUUCUCCUCCGAGAGUGAUCUCCUCUCCCUGACUGUCACAGCCUCUCCUCUGACAGCUUUCAUCAUCAGACUGGUUGUAGUACUUCUGAUGUCACUGACAGCCAACACCGCCAUCUAUCUGUACAUCAAGGAGGCGAGUGGAAGGGGUGAAUUUGGAGAUGGUUUCCCUGAGGACCAGAGCUGAAGCCGGACCUGGAGAGAGCAGCCCAGGUGACAGACUAGGGUGAAGUUGACUGAAAAGUCAAAGUGGGGUCCAUGGCACAUCCAACUCUGACYUCACCCCAUUGAAGUUGAAAUGUAAAAUGUUUCAAAUGUAGUUGAAGUCAUUUCAAAUGUAUAAAGGUUAAGGUUAGGAUAAUGGUUAGGUUAGGGUAGGCGUCCCAAGAUUCCCGGAUAGCACGAACUGAAGUUGACCGUAGAGACGCUGAACUUAGGUCCGUUUUUUGUUUUCCAGAUACCAUGGGACUGGUGUAGACUUGAUGGGAUUUUAUCCAAACCCAAUGAAAUUAAAUGAGUGUUAAGUUUCUAUUGGUUGUGCUAUGGCUGCACUUCCUUGCAAUUUAUUUUAUUAUUAUCAUCAUGUUUUAACUGCAUUAUGUGAUACUUCUCAUGUUAUUUCAUAAACAAUUGCUCAGUACAGUACUAUUAUUGUUUGCCUAGAGAGUGCUAUUUGUGCAAUGUAGAAUAAUACAUUUU
This is a non-coding RNA of Salvelinus sp. IW2-2015, 1248 nucleotides long. The record is from RefSeq and is a predicted model, not a curated record. Lineage: Eukaryota; Metazoa; Chordata; Actinopteri; Salmoniformes; Salmonidae.